Non-coding RNA from Sceloporus undulatus (fence lizard), 132 nucleotides. RefSeq annotates it as small Cajal body-specific RNA 3. The transcript has a single exon. The record is from RefSeq and is a predicted model, not a curated record. Lineage: Eukaryota; Metazoa; Chordata; Lepidosauria; Squamata; Phrynosomatidae.
AUUGGAAGCUGAAGCUGAUGCAGGCAAAUGAGUUGUCUUUUGUCUGUUGUUUUCGGACUUCCUAGAAUAAAGUGAAGGUCUCUGUCUGGUUUAGAAAAGCCAACUAAUCCAGAUCGUUCCCCUUUGUACAUU